RNAcentral lists this ribosomal RNA (491 nucleotides) under uncultured bacterium. Its description in RNAcentral is "bacterial SSU rRNA". It matches the Rfam family "Bacterial small subunit ribosomal RNA", at positions 21 to 504 of the family's 1533-position model. The record is from RNAcentral.
GGCUCAGGAUGAACGCUAGCGAUAGGCCUAACACAUGCAAGUCGAGGGGCAGCAUAGAGUAGCAAUACUUUGAUGGCGACCGGCGCACGGGUGAGUAACACGUAUGCAACCUACCUACAUCAGGGGAAUAACCCGGAGAAAUUCGGACUAAUACCGCAUAAUACAGGGAUGCCGCAUGGCAAUAUUUGUUAAAGAUUUAUCGGAUGUAGAUGGGCAUGCGUUCCAUUAGCUAGUUGGUAAGGUAACGGCUUACCAAGGCAACGAUGGAUAGGGGAACUGAGAGGUUUGUCCCCCACACUGGAACUGAGACACGGACCAGACUCCUACGGGAGGCAGCAGUGAGGAAUAUUGGUCAAUGGACGAGAGUCUGAACCAGCCAAAUCGCGUGAAGGAAGACUGCCCUACGGGUUGUAAACUUCUUUUGUACAGGAAUAAAAGACAUUACGUGUAAUGUAUUGCAUGUACUGUACGAAUAAGCAUCGGCUAACUCC